RNAcentral lists this ribosomal RNA (440 nucleotides) under uncultured bacterium. RNAcentral's name for it is "partial 16S ribosomal RNA". It matches the Rfam family "Bacterial small subunit ribosomal RNA", at positions 338 to 795 of the family's 1533-position model. The record is from RNAcentral.
CCUACGGGGCGCAGCAGUGGGGAAUAUUGCACAAUGGGGGAAACCCUGAUGCAGCGACGCCGCGUGAGUGAAGAAGUAUUUCGGUAUGUAAAGCUCUAUCAGCAGGGAAGAAAAUGACGGUACCUGAUUAAGAAGCCCCGGCUAACUACGUGCCAGCAGCCGCGGUAAUACGUAGGGGGCAAGCGUUAUCCGGAUUUACUGGGUGUAAAGGGAGCGUAGACGGCAGCACAAGUCUGGAGUGAAAUGCCGGGGCUUAACCCCGGAACUGCUUUGGAAACUGUGCAGCUAGAGUGCAGGAGAGGUAAGUGGAAUUCCUAGUGUAGCGGUGAAAUACGUAGAUAUUAGGAGGAACACCAGUGGCGAAGGCGGCUUACUGGACUGUAACUGACGUUGAGGCUCGAAAGCGUGGGGAGCAAACAGGAUUAGAUACCCGGGUAGUC